UUUUAGGGACUGGCAUUUGUGAAACAAUUCAUCUAUUCACUGGAAAGCGAGAAUCCCAUCAGUUCCCAUCUGGCCGUGAAUUCAAUUCUCAAAGCCAAAUUCAUCAUUAUCAUCCUUUCAUCACCUCAACAUGUCCUGCCUGUAAGCUCCAGUGGAUAUCUGUCUUGAAUAAAAAACAUGUAGCAUCAUAGCAUUCACCUUCCCUUUUGAGUCGUUCUAUGAAUCUCAUUCAUUUUUGAUGAUGUGACUUCCUGGCAUGCGGUGAGAAGACCACGGGUGCGAGUAUCUGGAUACUGAUGAUGACCUCCAUCAUCCCCACCACCACCACCAGGCUGGCCCUAGUCCAGGCAUCGUCUCAGGCAGGAACAGCAAGAAUCUACAAUCCUCCGGCUUUGAGCUAUGGAUGGGGUCGAUGUCAAAAAACUAUAUUAUCACUGCAUCAUUUUGCUUACAUAUU
Long non-coding RNA from Misgurnus anguillicaudatus (oriental weatherfish), 457 nucleotides. RefSeq lists it as uncharacterized. The record is from RefSeq and is a predicted model, not a curated record. NCBI's taxonomy places the organism in Eukaryota, Metazoa, Chordata, Actinopteri, Cypriniformes, Cobitidae.